AUUCCUUGAUGAAGGCAUUUUCGUAACAAUUCUUUAAAUCUUUCACACGCCUCAUAUAAGGACUCGUCAUCCAUCUAUUGGAAGCUAGUAAUUUUUUUCCCCAACUU
This is a non-coding RNA of Gossypium hirsutum (cotton), 107 nucleotides long. The record is from Rfam. Lineage: Eukaryota; Viridiplantae; Streptophyta; Magnoliopsida; Malvales; Malvaceae.